This 684-nucleotide long non-coding RNA is filed under the name Phasianus colchicus (ring-necked pheasant). RNAcentral describes it as "lncRNA (ENSPCLG00000002357.1)". Lineage: Eukaryota; Metazoa; Chordata; Aves; Galliformes; Phasianidae. The record is from RNAcentral.
AUUUGAACUCCCUCAGCUCUUGGAACUGUUGACCUGGAAUCAACCACUUAGAGAAGCAUGGGAGCAGCAUUUGUCAUACACACCACCAAUGAGAGUUUCUUAAACAUGGUCCUGAGAACAGAUGGAAAACAAAAUUUGAACCUAUAGUCCAUGACACUUCUGACAACAGGAAAAGUCCUAAGUAGAUUCUUUCAUCACUAGCCGUAUGGGGGACAGGGAUGUGACUCCUUGAGUUCUUGAGUAUGCUGGUGCUUCUGCCCCCCUACAUAUCCAAGAGCUACCUCUGAGAAACAGGAUUUACAAGUUGGGAGCUGCAGUUUCUAUAUGAAGAAAGUCAGUAGAAGUAAGACAUGUUGCAGAACUUCAGUAUGGAGGAUCUCCUCCUUGCAAGCUCAUACUUCAAAGGAGAGCUGUCCGGUGCCUGGCAGUCAGUCACAGAAAAAGGGUGUGGUGGAGAGAAGCAGUGGGCAGACAAAGUUGCAACCUUCAAGUACUCCACAGUGACCAGCAACAGGAACAAAACCAGUCAGCCUUUUCCAGAAUUUACUCUUGAAAUUUCAGUUGAGAUAAAGCCUGGGUUUAUAUGAAGUAGUUCACAUCUUGCUGGUGUACAUUUGUGAUCUCAUAAUUGGGGAAUACUUAUGAAAACUGAAAGAGGUGGAGAUACAGUUAACUCAGACUAGG